ACAUUGCACAGUAAUGAAAACAUAAUAUCUUACUUUGCAUAUGUUUGUUUGCAUGUUUUUUGAGCACAUAAAAAUCGAAUACCUAAUUUUCCAUAUAUCUAUCCUUUCUGUAACAGAUAUAUGAAGUUGAUUCAUGACUGGUCAUACAUUUUCAAUUGGAGACAGAUCUGGACUGCAGAGUGAAAAUCCUAAAAGAAAAGGCUCUUCCAGAUAUUGAGAACUACAUGUUUGAGGAACACGAUCAAAUCAGACAAGCUGCCACAGAGUGCAUGUGCAAUCUGGUUUGCUGCAAAGAGGUUCAAGACAGAUAUCUGGAAGACGGCAAUGUAAACUCAAGCUUCUUGUCCUGCUCUGCGGUGAAGAUGAUGAGUAGCUUCAGAGGGCAGCUGCUGGUGCACUGGCUAUGCUCACCGCUGCACAGAAGAAACCGGCUGUUAAGAUGACUAAGUGACUGGGCAGUGGCUUGAGAUCAUACAGAGAUUGUGCAUCCAUGACAACCCUGAAAUUCAGCACAGAGGUCUUGUGACGGUGUUUAAUAUGCUGGACGCUGAUGAACAACUAGCCAAGAAGCUCAUUGAAUGUGAACUGCUGGAAAUCCUGACAUAUGUGGCAAAACUAGAGGACAACCCCAAGAAGCAGGAUGCUAUUAAUGCUGCCUGCCUGCCUGUCUAGAGCCAUGGAUAGUGGAUUCAUCAAACCAUUUUCAAAUUAAACAGAAAACAAUUCAUUGUGACGUAUCAUUAGGCGAAUAGAGAAUGGUCUGCUUUCUGGGAAAGUGGAAAGACUGCAAACUAUUUGCAAUAUGUUUUAUUUUUUAAAUUUCUACUGAUAAGCAUAGUUCUUUCUGUUAGAUGCUGUUUGUGUGGCUUUUUGUUUGAUCAGUGGAAUUUGGUAUUACAUGCUCAUUUCAUAUUUCAUGUAUUUGCACUUGUGAAGUUUUGAUACACAGAUAAAAAUCU
Sinocyclocheilus anshuiensis is the source of this 959-nucleotide long non-coding RNA. RefSeq lists it as uncharacterized. The record is from RefSeq and is a predicted model, not a curated record. The transcript has 4 exons. Lineage: Eukaryota; Metazoa; Chordata; Actinopteri; Cypriniformes; Cyprinidae.